AUUGAACGCUGGCGGCAGGCCUAACACAUGCCAGUCGAGCGGAUGAAGGGAGCUUGCUCCUGGAUUCAGCGGCGGACGGGUGAGUAAUGCCUAGGAAUCUGCCUGGUAGUGGGGGAUAACGUCCGGUCACGGGCGCUAAUACCGCAUACGUCUUGAGGGAGAAAGUGGGGGAUCUUCGGACCUCACGCUAUCAGAUGAGCCUAGGUCGGAUUAGCUAGUUGGUGGGGUAAAGGCCUACCAAGGCGACGAUCCGUAACUGGUCUGAGAGGAUGAUCAGUCAGACUGGAACUGAGACACGGUCCAGACUCCUACGGGAGGCAGCGGUGGGGAAUAUUGGACAAUGGGCGAAAGCCUGAUCCAGCCAUGCCGCGUGUGUGAAGAAGGUCUUCGGAUUGUAAAGCACUUUAAGUUGGGAGGAAGGGCAGUAAGUUAAUACCUUGCUGUUUUGACGUUACCAACAGAAUAAGCACCGGCUAACUACGUG
This 484-nucleotide ribosomal RNA is filed under the name uncultured bacterium. RNAcentral describes it as "partial 16S ribosomal RNA". It matches the Rfam family "Bacterial small subunit ribosomal RNA", at positions 30 to 507 of the family's 1533-position model. The record is from RNAcentral.